This 121-nucleotide ribosomal RNA is filed under the name Pteropus vampyrus (large flying fox). The record is from RNAcentral. Lineage: Eukaryota; Metazoa; Chordata; Mammalia; Chiroptera; Pteropodidae.
GUCUACAGCCAUGCCCCCCUGAACACGCCUGAUCUCAUCUGAUCUCGGAAGCUAAGCAGGGUCGGGCCUAGUUAGUACUUGGAUGGGAGACCACCUAGUAUUCCUACAGGUGCUGUAGGCA